UCACCCUUGGGUCUUCCUUUGAGCCAUUUUAUUGGUCCCUCUCUGUCUCAUAUUUAUUAUCAUUUUGUUGAGCGCUGAGCUUUUCUCCCUCCUCUUUCUCUCUCCCUCUUUCUCUACGUAACGUAACAAAGAGAGGAGGAGGGGGAGGAGGAAAAAAGGGAGAAAAAUGGCAGUGAUUAAUGCAUCGUCAUUUGGAGUGGUUGCAAUUGUCCUCCUCUUUUUCGCUGUCGUUUUGCCCAUGGCUCAUGCAACCAGGGUGGCUCCGGCUCCGGCUCCAGCUCCAACAAGCGAUGGCACGGCAAUAGACCAAGGGGUAGCAUACGUUCUAAUGGUGCUGGCAUUAGUUCUCACAUAUCUCAUCCACUGAAUAAUCAAUCAUCUGAGCUAUGAGAUGCAGAGAACCAGAAGGUACAGGAAGCAACCAGCAGCAUACAUAUAUACAAACCAUUGCCCACGCUAGGUGUUUUAAAUUUAGGGUGGGUGUGAUGUGGUAUGGGGUAAAUUUAUUAAUUUCGUCAGGUUAAUUCUUGUUGAAUAUUCCAAGUAUUGGAUAAAUCUCAUUAAUUUAGUACGUACGUUAAUUUGGAGGAUUCCUUGCUUCCCUUUUCUUGGUUUGAUUCUAUCAGGAAACACUUCUCUAGUCACUAUGUACAUUAAUUUGGAUAAUUUCUUGCCUUGCCUUCUCAAUUUUAAUACAUAAACUUGAAAUUUAAAAAUGGAAA
Molecule: non-coding RNA, 722 nt
Organism: Prunus mume (Japanese apricot)
Lineage: Eukaryota; Viridiplantae; Streptophyta; Magnoliopsida; Rosales; Rosaceae
Source: RefSeq, a predicted model, not a curated record